GUACAGCUUGUUGAAAAAUAUCACAACAAAAUUAAAAUGAUAUCUCCUUCAAACUGCAAUAUCAAUGAUAUAUAAGAAAAAUUUGAUGGUUUGCUAAGCAUACCUGGUCUGUGGGAAAACACGUUUUCAAUAGUUAUCAAACAAAUUUCGAAAAUGUUUCACUCACCCCCUCCCUUCCUGUGUGUUGUAGUUGGACCUCCAGACCAGAGGGUGGCAGCAUUAUACGUUAAGCUUUUUCGACGUUAAAAGAAGAAGAGAAGACAUUCGCAGGGAGUUAUGUGAUAGACUGACCAUCGGAGGACAUGAGUGUUACAUUGAUGUCUCUGAAAGUAAAAUGUUGCACUCAUGUGUUCAGCAACCAAGGCGGCAACAUAGUUCAGGUAUUUUAUAUGAAUAUAGUUAGACUGCUUUGACACGUCUAUGAUUUGACCACAGUCAUGGUAGAGGAGCAAUCGUCUCGAGGACCACGUGCCUGUCUGUGCCUCCACGUGAAAGAGGUAAGAGGGAGCAGAUUUGAUCGACUUCAUUAUUCAUCGUGAACAAAACUGGUCUGUUAGUUUAUCUUAUGUCACGUUUUGUCACGAGGAUAGCGUGUUUCUUUCUACAAAGUCACGAUCCUUUGCUUUGACAAAGUCAGCAUGGCCGAAUUCUGUACCGACCAGCCUGUGUCGGCUACAGUCAGACACCAUGCGAAAGUCUCGUCUCAUUUCUGCUUUAUAAUCGGAUGAGUGCUACCUACAACUUCAUCCAGCUGUGCAAAAAUGAGUACAAUACUCCAUUAAAUCAUGACACCCAUUCAACUUUCAAGUAUUUGUAUUGAUUUCUCUUCUGUUUGGUCAUUUCUGAAGGGCACAUGGUACUGCAUCUGGACCUUGGACAUGAGAAAACCCAGUCUCAAACUCAUGCUUGGAAGGUAACAAUGAAAAACCUGAAAUAUCAGCACCAAAGGGCGUGUUUAACAUAAGGGUCAUUCCAAAAAAUCGGUGCCUUUUGCGUCCCCAAGAAGUAAUCAGUCAUAAAAUUAUAACAACAAAUUAAUAUAUAAUUUAAAAAUAUAACCUUACCAUGUCUUCUCUCCUGAAUAUAACGUCAAAUUAAAGUCGAUUAAAUAUCAUUUUUAAUAAUUAAAAUUAUUUUUAUGCUGAUGAGGGUAAGGUCUUUGGCCUGUCCCUCACUACUAUUGUUGUACAUAUACAGGACUUAAAAUUUUUAAUAUGUACCAUAUAUUGCAUAUUUCUAAUGAGAAAUAUUGUAUUUUGUACUUCUGAUUGUAAAAUGUUUUCCCCUCUGUUAUAAUAAACUAUUGUGUGUCAAGAAUAA
This 1320-nucleotide long non-coding RNA is filed under the name Xyrichtys novacula (pearly razorfish). The stretch from base 637 to 773 matches the Rfam family "Small nucleolar RNA SNORA15". Lineage: Eukaryota; Metazoa; Chordata; Actinopteri; Labriformes; Labridae. The record is from RNAcentral.